UGAGAAAUUCCUGGAUGGAUUCGCUCU
Molecule: non-coding RNA, 27 nt
Filed under: Mus musculus (house mouse)
Lineage: Eukaryota; Metazoa; Chordata; Mammalia; Rodentia; Muridae
Source: RNAcentral